Non-coding RNA from Anas platyrhynchos (mallard), 1740 nucleotides. The record is from RefSeq and is a predicted model, not a curated record. NCBI's taxonomy places the organism in Eukaryota, Metazoa, Chordata, Aves, Anseriformes, Anatidae.
AUGAUGUUGUAUGGCAACGUCUUCUUGGAGGAUGGAUAAAAAUAUCAAGUCUGGGAAGAUAGAGUAGUAAUUUUUGCUGUCCCUAUAGAAGAAAAAGUAAGGGGAGGAGAUUGCAAACCAGAACACAUGGGCUUUAUAGAAAUGAUUAGGCUUCUUGUCAAAGGAAGCCAGCUGUGAACAAUUCUGUAUCAUGACCCAAGCUUUUUUCUGGUACCAGCUUAGCUGUAAUUUGGCCAGGUCAGUCACUGAAGCAAGGUGGGCUUAAAGAAAGGGAUUUGUCCCAUGUGGUUUCCUAGUGCUGGGAAAAACCUGAUGCUGCUGGUGAGGAGGAAAUGGUAUAAUAAACAGAUAUGUUAAAGAGAGAUUGAGACCAAGAGAGUGCUGUUUACCUGUGGGAACAAGUGAGGCGUUAAGAAGAUGUUUCUAUUGGAAGAAACAUACUGGAAUUUAACUAUGUACAAAGAUUUCAUCAAAUCUGGCUCGGCAGAGAGAUAAAAGCAGUAAAGAGGGUAGUUUUGUUUGUGAAUCUGGCUGACCAAAGUCCCAAGGGCCUGCCACAAGAAAGAAAGCUUCUCCACUGGUUAAAAACAACUUUUCCACUGGAUGUGCUGGGAAACAUCUUACUGAAUGAAGCAACUUUUCUAAAGAGGGGGCAGCUUUGUGGUAUAAUUCUGCUGACUACACUGAACUUCUACCUCAGAAAGAUUCUGACCCCCCACCUUCUGCCUUUGCUAUCAUAAAAGCAUCUGCUUUUUACUGGAUGGUUGAAUCUUCAUGGGUUUCUUGCAAGAAUGGUCUUACUCUGAGAGACAAGACUUCAAGAGAAUUCUCUACAUGGCAGCAAAUUGCAAAGAAUAUAUCACUAAAGCAUUUUUGAUACAAGCAAAGAAGAGAAACUAGUCAUUAUACACUCUGCUGUUUGAAUAGCCCAAGAAGGUAAAUUUAAAGAGCAAAGACUAUAGCUUCCAUUUCAGAACAUCAGCAGUGUGAGGUCCUCAAAGUCAUACUAAGACAAGAUCUACCACUUCAGCAGUCAAAUUUAGUUUCGUCUAAGGUCAUUGCAAGGGUCAUACAUGUUUUGUAAACAGAAGUUACCUAAAAUUGGAAUUUGCCAUCUUAUCCAUCCAGCUGCUGAGGUUUAGUUAUAAAGGAACACUGGUAUGAAUAAUUCCAUGUCUGAACUAACAGAACAAAACCGAAACUGAUGAGGUUUUGCAACACCAAACCUGCCUGUCAUAGCAGAGGUAAGAAUAAACUGAACCACUUUAUUUGAGUCCCAAAUUGUGGUGCUUUGGAUGAACAGAGACCAAGGCCAGGCUAGCCACAGAAAGUUCAGUGCAGCCACCCAGGUCAGAAUCCAGGCACAACAGUGAGGAUGAUUGUUUAAAGUUUCUGAAAAGAGAAUUGAAGUAUCUCUCAUGCCCAGAAAGCUGGCUUUCUGUUGAGAGGAACCCUAAGUGUUGACAUCAUGAUACCCAGCUGUAGGCACUACAUCUGCAGAACAAGUUCUCUCCUUUGCCAGUCACAGCAGGGCACUGUAACUAACUGUUUUUGGAAGCAAUAACCUCACCCAUAAUUAGUGGCUGAGUGGCUACACAUACAAAAUACUCUUUUAACAUUCUUUCCUUGCAUUAAUUCUCCUACUGCACAGACAAGAAUAAGUGACCUUCAGGUUUCAUUUGGAUUUAUUUAUCUCCUGACCACUUGAAUCUUGUGGCCAUUUAUCUCACGGCCUGGGAA